This 253-nucleotide ribosomal RNA is filed under the name uncultured bacterium. Its description in RNAcentral is "partial 16S ribosomal RNA". It matches the Rfam family "Bacterial small subunit ribosomal RNA", at positions 524 to 776 of the family's 1533-position model. The record is from RNAcentral.
UACAGAGGUCUCAAGCGUUGUUCGGAUUCAUUGGGCGUAAAGGGUGCGUAGGUGGCGCCGUAAGUCAGGUGUGAAAUUUCGGAGCUUAACUUCGAAACUGCAUUUGAUACUGCGGUGCUUGAGGACUGGAGAGGAGACUGGAAUUUACGGUGUAGCAGUGAAAUGCGUAGAGAUCGUAAGGAAGACCAGUGGCGAAGGCGGGUCUCUGGACAGUUCCUGACACUGAGGCACGAAGGCCAGGGGAGCAAACGGG